AUUGAACGAUGGCGGCAUGCUUAACACAUGCAAGUCGAACGCGAAAGUCCUUCGGGCGGAGUAGAGUGGCGGACGGGUGAGUAACGCGUGGGAAUCUACCCUAGAGCGGGGGACGAACCUGGGGAAACCCGGGCUAAUACCGCAUACGUCCUACGGGAGAAAGAGGGCCUCUGCUUGCACGCUCUCACUCCAGGAUGAGCCCACGUCCGAUUAGCUAGUUGGUAGGGUAAAGGCCUACCAAGGCCACGAUCGGUAGCUGGUCUGAGAGGAUGAUCAGCCACACUGGGACUGAGACACGGCCCAGACUCCUACGGGAGGCAGCAGUGGGGAAUAUCGGACAAUGGGCGCAAGCCUGAUCCAGCAAUGCCGCGUGUGUGAAGAAGGCCUGCGGGUUGUAAAGCACUUUCAGUGGGGAAGAACAGAUUCGGGUCAAUACCCCGGAGCCCUGACGUUACCCACAGAAGAAGCACCGGCUAACUCCGUGCCAGCAGCCG
This 494-nucleotide ribosomal RNA is filed under the name uncultured bacterium. RNAcentral describes it as "bacterial SSU rRNA". It matches the Rfam family "Bacterial small subunit ribosomal RNA", at positions 29 to 517 of the family's 1533-position model. The record is from RNAcentral.